RNAcentral lists this ribosomal RNA (253 nucleotides) under uncultured Rikenellaceae bacterium. Its description in RNAcentral is "partial 16S ribosomal RNA". It matches the Rfam family "Bacterial small subunit ribosomal RNA", at positions 524 to 776 of the family's 1533-position model. Lineage: Bacteria; Pseudomonadati; Bacteroidota; Bacteroidia; Bacteroidales; Rikenellaceae. The record is from RNAcentral.
UACGGAGGAUUCAAGCGUUAUCCGGAUUUAUUGGGUUUAAAGGGUGCGUAGGCGGUCGGAUAAGUUAGAGGUGAAAUGUCGGGGCUCAACCCCGAAACUGCCUCUAAUACUGUUGGACUAGAGAAUAGUUGCGGUAGGCGGAAUGUAUGGUGUAGCGGUGAAAUGCUUAGAGAUCAUACAGAACACCGAUUGCGAAGGCAGCUUACCAAGCUACUUCUGACGUUGAGGCACGAAAGCGUGGGGAGCAAACAGG